GCCGAAGUGGUGGAAUUGGUAGACACGCUAGGUUCAGGGUCUAGUUUCCGUUCGGAAGUGGGAGUUCGAGUCUCCCCUUCGGCACCA
Molecule: transfer RNA, 87 nt
Filed under: Desulfovibrio sp.
Lineage: Bacteria; Pseudomonadati; Thermodesulfobacteriota; Desulfovibrionia; Desulfovibrionales; Desulfovibrionaceae
Description: tRNA-Leu
Rfam family: tRNA
About the family: Transfer RNA (tRNA) molecules are approximately 80 nucleotides in length. Their secondary structure includes four short double-helical elements and three loops (D, anti-codon, and T loops). Further hydrogen bonds mediate the characteristic L-shaped molecular structure. tRNAs have two regions of fundamental functional importance: the anti-codon, which is responsible for specific mRNA codon recognition, and the 3' end, to which the tRNAs corresponding amino acid is attached (by aminoacyl-tRNA synthetases). tRNAs cope with the degeneracy of the genetic code in two manners: having more than one tRNA (with a specific anti-codon) for a particular amino acid; and 'wobble' base-pairing, i.e. permitting non-standard base-pairing at the 3rd anti-codon position.
Source: RNAcentral